CCAGAGCAAGAGCUCCACCUCCUCACCCAGAGCCAGACCUCCACCUCCUGUCAGAAGUCCCCCAGAACAGAUGCUGAUAUAAAUCUGCUGCUGUAGCUGAAAGGCGAGGCUGAGAGGCUGGGGACCGGAGGCUUGUGGUGCCAGGCUGGACCGGAGACUGAGGCUGGAGACCAGCGGCCUGCAGCACCGGACCAGAGGACCAGGAAUCCAUGGCUGAAGGAGCUGAUGGAGGAGCCGUGCUGAAGGAGCUGAUGGAGUAGCCGUGCUGAAGGAGCUGAUGGAGGAGUCGUGCUGAAGGCCCUGCCUUGUGGAGGAGCUGGUGGAGGCCCUGCCUGGUGAAGGACGUCUGUCGUGGGACCAGGACUCUGUCUGAGGAGAGCUGCUGGAGGAGCUGAGACGCUGGAGGACGACUAGGAAUCGACCAACAAGGAUAUCUCAACGUGUUUCUGGAGCGGAGGCGAGCUGGUAGGGGAGCCGUGAAUCCGGAGGAUGACCAUCACUCUACCAACAAGGAUCGCAA
Molecule: long non-coding RNA, 520 nt
Organism: Gadus chalcogrammus (walleye pollock)
Lineage: Eukaryota; Metazoa; Chordata; Actinopteri; Gadiformes; Gadidae
Exons: 5
Source: RefSeq, a predicted model, not a curated record